Molecule: ribosomal RNA, 449 nt
Filed under: uncultured bacterium
Lineage: Bacteria
Description: partial 16S ribosomal RNA
Rfam family: Bacterial small subunit ribosomal RNA
Source: RNAcentral
AACGAACGCUGGCGGCAUGCCUAACACAUGCAAGUCGAACGAGACCUUCGGGUCUAGUGGCGCACGGGUGCGUAACGCGUGGGAACCUGCCUUGAGGUUCGGAAUAACUUCCCGAAAGGGAUGCUAAUACCGGAUGAUGUCUUCGGACCAAAGAUUUAUCGCCUUUAGAUGGGCCCGCGUUGGAUUAGCUAGUUGGUGGGGUAAAGGCCUACCAAGGCGACAAUCCAUAGCUGGUCUGAGAGGAUGAUCAGCCACACUGGGACUGAGACACGGCCCAGACUCCUACGGGAGGCAGCAGUGGGGAAUAUUGGACAAUGGGCGAAAGCCUGAUCCAGCAAUGCCGCGUGAGUGAUGAAGGCCUUAGGGUUGUAAAGCUCUUUUACCAGGGAUGAUAAUGACAGUACCUGGAGAAUAAGCUCCGGCUAACUCCGUGCCAGCCGCCGCAGUAA